UCGAGCGGUACAUUUCUAGCUUGCUAGAAGAUGACGAGCGGCGGACGGGUGAGUAAUACUUAGGAAUCUACCUAGUAGUGGGGGAUAGCUCGGGGAAACUCGAAUUAAUACCGCAUACGACCUACGGGAGAAAGGGGGCAACUUGUUGCUCUCGCUAUUAGAUGAGCCUAAGUCGGAUUAGCUAGAUGGUGGGGUAAAGGCCUACCAUGGCGACGAUCUGUAGCUGGUCUGAGAGGAUGAUCAGCCACACCGGGACUGAGACACGGCCCGGACUCCUACGGGAGGCAGCAGUGGGGAAUAUUGGACAAUGGGGGAAACCCUGAUCCAGCCAUGCCGCGUGUGUGAAGAAGGCCUUUUGGUUGUAAAGCACUUUAAGCAGUGAAGAAGACUCUUCGGUUAAUACCCGGAGACGAUGACAUUAGCUGCAGAAUAAGCACCGGCUAACUCUGUGCCAGCAGCCGCGGUAAUACAGAGGGUGCAAGCGUUAAUCGGAAUUACUGGGCGUAAAGCGAGCGUACGUGGCUUGAUAAAGUCAGAUGUGAAAUCCCCCGGGCUUAACCUGGGAACUG
This 569-nucleotide ribosomal RNA is filed under the name Psychrobacter sp. Its description in RNAcentral is "bacterial SSU rRNA". It matches the Rfam family "Bacterial small subunit ribosomal RNA", at positions 62 to 623 of the family's 1533-position model. Lineage: Bacteria; Pseudomonadati; Pseudomonadota; Gammaproteobacteria; Moraxellales; Moraxellaceae. The record is from RNAcentral.